AUGGCCGAUUUGACAGGGAGGAGCAUGGAACCUGCUGUAUGGCCACCCUGCGACUUUCAUCUGGCCGAUUGGUCCAUGGAACCCGCGGGAGCUGCGUGGGUUGCUGACGAGUUUGUUUGGUCCACUGAAAUGCUGGGCACCUGCUUCCAGACGUAUGUUCCUAGCAGCCCUAGCGGAGGGCAGCUGCAGCAGGUUCAGUAUGCGGCAGCCACACAGAAGUCACCUUGUGAGGAAGAAGCACAUCCACAAAACAAGAUGGAGAUGGAGAUCCGCGACCCGAUGCAAGUGUUCGAGAAAACAGCACACGAGUUCGAGGUCGACAUCGACAUGUUCGACAGGAAGAUGCAUAGGUACCCCGGGCUCAUUCGACGUCUCAGCGACGGCAACAAAAACUACACCACUCCGGUGACGGUGGCCAUCGGACCCUACUACCACGGCAAAGACCACCUCAAGCCGGCGGAGAAGGUGAAGUAUGUGGCUGCCUACCACUGCAUCAUGGAGUCGGGCCACUCUGUCCAGGAGAUGUACGACGCAGUCGUCUCAGUCGCAGGCGAGGCCCGGGGGCUCUAUGACAAGGACGUGAUGGCAGGUAUCAGCGACAACGACUUCGAGCCUAUGAUGUUCUAUGAUGCCUGCUUCUUGGUGCAGUUCAUGCUUAAACUUACAGGCUCCAACUUGAAUUCGUAUUUAUCCCGCUAUUUCAAGGGCAAUAUGAACGACAUCUUCCGUGACAUCCUCCUGCUUGAGAACCAGCUCCCCUGGCGGGUGGUCGAGACCGUCAUGUGGUUCAGGCAGGUGUCGUUGCCGAAGCUCGUUAAUUCGUUGAAAAACGGCCUGCAAGACCGCAAGGUCCGCGGGAGGAAGCCUUUGGACUGGGAAGAGAAGUACAAACCGCCACAUCUCCUCGGUCUUGUCCGGUUCUACAUUGUGGGAAGGAGCAAACCCAAACCGAACCGGCAGCCGCUACCCCGCCUCGAGUCGGUUUCGAUUUCUGUAGGUGCCAUGGAGCUUGCAGAAAGCGGCAUCAUGCUGACGGCCAACAAGACAAGUGACCUCGUAGACAUGGGCAUCGACACGAAAGGGCCCUUCUGCGCGGAGCUCUCUCUGGCGCCACUGUCCCUGAACGAUUUACGCUCAGUCUGGCUAGUCAACAUGGCAGCCUUCGAGCUGUCCACGACCCUAGAAUUUCAAGGGCGUGAUGCUGAAGAUGAAGCCUCCGCUGUCUGCUCCUACCUCCUCCUCCUAGCCAUGUUCGUGGACAAGGAGGAGGACGUGCACCAGCUGCGAACACAGAGUGUUCUGCAAGGAGGAGGAGGGCUUACCAACAAGGAGGCGCUCUCCUUCUUCACCAGCCUUCAGGACCUGCCUCUCGGGAGCCGCUAUGUCCGCACCAUGAGAGAGAUUGAGAAUUACAGGAACAAGCAGAGGCGGAAGCGGACACGGUGCCACGCCUUUUUUCACAAGAACUGGAGAAUCAUGGCCACGGUCUUCUCCGCCGUUGCUGCACUCAUCACUAUCUUGAGCACGCUUGCGUCUCUCAAGAAACAAUAG
This 1551-nucleotide ribosomal RNA is filed under the name Triticum aestivum (bread wheat). RNAcentral describes it as "partial small subunit ribosomal RNA". The record is from RNAcentral. Lineage: Eukaryota; Viridiplantae; Streptophyta; Magnoliopsida; Poales; Poaceae.